This 1202-nucleotide long non-coding RNA is filed under the name Ananas comosus (pineapple). RNAcentral describes it as "long non-coding RNA (ACOM_LNC011649)". The record is from RNAcentral. Lineage: Eukaryota; Viridiplantae; Streptophyta; Magnoliopsida; Poales; Bromeliaceae.
UAUACCUCUCUCUAUUAUCUCUUUCUAAUAUCUAUCUAUUAAUCUAUAUGAAUUAUCAAUGAUUUUGCCACGUGGUAAGUUUCGUCCACCCUCACUAACCUUUUUUUUGAAUUAAUCUUUACUUAGGGCUUUUCCCCUCCCCUCCUCUCUAUUCAAUGACAUAUAAUCAAUGUGCUUUUAAUUUAUACGAUACUGAAUUUUUCCUCUUUUUCAAAUAAUUCCUAACAUGCAAUUAGUUUUGAUUUCAUAAUUGAUGUGGCAGUUUUGACCAUUUCAUAUUCAAAAGGGUGCAAAAUCUUGCAAACUUCUAUGAGAUUUUUAUCGCCAUCGUCAUCAUGAUCGCAACAUUAUCAUCUCCAUCUUCAUACGACCUUUGUAGAUUUUUUUCUUUAAAUGAUGAUUCUCGGCGGUUAUCAAUCUUCAAUGGUUAUAUUGGCUAGUUCAAUUUAUACAUUUACCUACCCAAAAAAUAAAACACACUUGAAUUUUUAUUUUCCAAACUCCUUUCUUCAUCCUCUUCAAUAUUUUUUAUUUUUUCUUCUAUUAUUUAUUCGCCGCAUCGCGUGGGUUACUACACUAGUAUAUCUAUGUAUAGAAAUCUAUUUAGCAAAAUUUUAUCUAACUAAAUUUUCUUCUCAAAUAAAAUUUUAUAACUAAAUAUUUAUACUUAUGCAAUUAGAUCAAAUCUAAUUAAAAUCUUAUCUUACAAGAUAUUGUGAAUAUUUAAUUAUUCUAUAAUCCAAUUAGAGAUAAGCAUUAAUCUCUCCAAUAUUUAAUUUUAUAUAUAUAUAUAUAUAUAUAUAUAUAUAUAUAAAGCAUGUAUAUUCAAAUUUGGGUCUGUCGACAGACCCAUUUUUCGGCGAAAAAAUUAGCGCCCAUUUUCCUCUUUCCACGAAAAAUUUUAAAUAUAAAAAUAAAAAUAGAAAUAGAAACAACAAUAAAUACGUAAGUUCUCUAUAACAGAUUACUGAUGUGAAAAUUCUAAAAUAUAAAUUUUUCUAUUUAAUUUUAAAAGUAAGUUUUCUAUAACAAAUUACGGGUGUAAAAAUCCUAUAAAAGAUAUUUUUCUAUUUUAGAUAUUAUCUAUUUAAUUUCAAAAUAUAUUUUCUUUUUAAGAUAACGGAUUUUAUUUUUCUAUUUAAUUUCAAAAAUUUAUUUCCUAACAGAUUUUAUUUUUCUAUUUAAUUUCAAAAGUAAUUUUU